GACGAACGCUGGCGGCGUGCUUAACACAUGCAAGUCGAACGGAAAGGCCCUGCUUUUGGGGGGUGCUCGAGUGGCGAACGGGUGUGUAACACGUGAGUAACCUGCCCUUGACUUUGGGAUAACUUCAGGAAACUGGGGCUAAUAGCGGAUAGGAGCUCCUGCUGCAGGGUGGGGGUUGGAAAGUUUCGUCGGGUGGGGAUGGACUCGCGGCUUAUCAGCUUGUGGGUGGGGUAGUGGCUUACCAAGGCUUUGACGGGUAGCGGGCCUGGGGGGGUGACCGGCACAAUUGGGCUUGAGCUCGGGCCCAGCCCCCUCCGGGGGGAAGAAGUGGGGAAUAUUCAACAAUGGGCGGAGGCCUGAUGAAGCACCGCCGGGUGCGGGAUGACGGCCUCCGGGUUGUAACCCGCUUUCGCCUGUGACGAAGCGUGAGUGACGGUAAUGGGUAAAGAAGCACCGGCUAACUACGUG
Molecule: ribosomal RNA, 468 nt
Filed under: uncultured bacterium
Lineage: Bacteria
Description: partial 16S ribosomal RNA
Rfam family: Bacterial small subunit ribosomal RNA
Source: RNAcentral